UACGUAGGGGGCUAGCGUUGUCCGGAAUCAUUGGGCGUAAAGAGCAUGUAGGCGGCCCGGUAAGUCCGCUGUGAAAGUCGGGGGCUCAACCCUCGGAUGCCGGUGGAUACUGUCGGGCUCGAGUACGGAAGAGGCGAGUGGAAUUCCUGGUGUAGCGGUGAAAUGCGCAGAUAUCAGGAGGAACACCAAUUGCGAAGGCAGCUCGCUGGGACGUUACUGACGCUGAGACGCGAAAGCGUGGGGAGCAAACAGG
This 253-nucleotide ribosomal RNA is filed under the name uncultured bacterium. RNAcentral's name for it is "partial 16S ribosomal RNA". It matches the Rfam family "Bacterial small subunit ribosomal RNA", at positions 524 to 776 of the family's 1533-position model. The record is from RNAcentral.